CCUGAGUACGGAUUAUCAUCGGCAUUUUACAGAUGGGAAAACUCAGGCUCAGAAAGGGUGAGCGACUUGCCCACCAUCACAAAGCUUGUCCCUGGGGUCUCCUGGGUGUUGCUCAUCUGACACCAACGCCAGGUAUCUUUUCAUCACAAUGCACUUCCUCUCACUCAUUGUGCUGUGUUGUGUUUCAUAAGACGGUGGAGAAAUAGAGCUGCUCCAGCCAGGCUGGGAUUAGAAGUCAGGACGCUUGACUCCAGCCCGGGUCCUCGGGACCUUUGCUGGUCCAUACAGAGCAGUUAUGUUACUCAGGAAAAUGUGCCGCCCCCUUGGGUUCACGGCUUGGUGACAGACAAGAGGACUUCAGCUACUACACAGUGCCUGAUGGGGAAUAAGCCGAAGAUACUGUGCAGGACUUGACUUCCUCUGCCAGACCCAGCAGGCUGGCCAGUACUUGCUCAGCCGAGCUCUCUUCUGACGGCUGCACAUCGCUGUUGCCCUGCUGGACACAUAUUUGUGGUGGUCGUAUUUUUCCUCCUUAAUUUAUAGUCCAAGUUUUGAAGAUGAAGAAUGUCUUCCAGCCUCUGCACCCCCUCCUCAUCCAUGCUGGGAAAAUGGGAGAAGACAGUGGACUCUGGACUCUCUCCCUGCCCCUCAGAAAAAAUCUGACAUUCCUCUCACAUUAUUGGGUAAGUUGUUAUCUACAGCCAGUCCGUGUUCACGUCCUAAGUAGGGUGGAGGGGAGAAGAUUGCUUUCUUUAAUCCAAAAGGCCCACGAUGGCAUUUUUCUCACCCAAAGAGCUGCCCACCGUCUUGGCUACGCUGUCCUUUCCAUCUGUUCUCUCUUUAGCUACAUCAAGAAAUUUCAGAGGCUUUGCAGUGAGGGGAGUCCCUUAGCACUGCAGCAGGCUCACAUGGUGCCCUCCCCAACAGUCCCGAUGGUGCAAGGCCCACAGCCAGUGGCAUCCCCGUUGGUCAUGGGUCUGUGGCUUCUUCUUUCUAUACCAGCACAAUGUGAACGAGUGAGCAAACACUCGAUUUCUCUGUGUGUGCAGGGGAAAGUGUAUAAAUACAUUGGGGUUGGAGGUUAUGUGAGUGUGUGCAUGUGCGUGCAGAUUGCGUGUGUGCGUGUGUGUGUGCAUGCACUCCCUUAGGCUGGGACUGGAGGUGGUGGGGGGUGCUUGCAUAUGCUAGGGCUGGAGGUCGGGUGGGGUGUGGGACAGGGAGAAGAAAUUUGUAUAUGAUUUGAGAUUUCUCAGGCUGCCUCUUGCCAAGUGGUUUCCUCUGAAGCUCAGAAUCAGCCCAUAUGGCCUGGGGGGUGGAAAAUCUCACUGUCAGCAGCCAGUCUCUGACUCAUUCUGAAAGCCUGCGGGCCUGCCGCUGACUGCCAUGGGCUCCAUGCUCCGACUGGCUCAUCCCUGCCUUCAGGUUGUGCCUCUGAGGACCCAUGCCCCUUCCCAACAGCUCGGAGGGGUCACAGAGACCCUUUGUCACAUCCAUCCCCCUGACUCCUCCCUCCUGCUGGUCCUCUUCCCCACAUCGCAACUCCCUCCGCCAUUCCCUCACUCUGUGUUCAAAGAUCUCCCAGCAAACGUGUCCUCUACCCACCCCAGGAGGUCCUGGAGUGUCUUCAAAUUCCCACAGCUCCUAGCGGCCGUAUCUGCUCUGCCAUCCCUUCCUUUAUCUCUUACUAGCACUCCCUGCUGGGACCUGUCAUCCCAGAGCCAUGGACACAUGAUCAACAUCACCUCUGCUGGGACAGGAGCCACUGAGACUGUGCCCAACAGAGAAGCUGUUAAAACAUGCAGUUCUUCUGUCACAGAAUGUGCGCCCCAGGCACCUCAUGCCAUCCGAGACCCUCCCCUUGCUCCUGAUCCCUUCCCUACCUGUGGGGAGAGUCCGGGUGGGUGGGGCAUGGGGUAAGACGAGGUGUGUUUGUUGGGAGCAUUAGCCAGCAGGAUAGCAGCUGUGCUAGAUUCAGAUCCAGCCAUCCUGAUGCAUCACAAAGGGGCUUCAAAAGGACCACAUCAAAAGGCCAAGCAUCUCUCCCAGGAUUGUGCCACCUACUGCGCUGGGAGCUGGAUCCUCCAUGCAAGGUAUCACCCUGAGCUAAUACCCCCUCAGUUCCACAGGGUGUACCUGCUGCUGCUGACAGAGUCAGGGCUGGAAUUUGGCUGGCAUACGUCGGAGCCACCGUGCUGGUUCUUUAUAGGCGGUGAGCGAGCCAGGUAGCUGCAUCUGCUGCCUGGUCGAUGCCCUUGCCUGGCCCUUGUUAAAUAUUCUCCCCUGGGGUCAAUCCCUCCCCCUCACCACCCACCCACACUCCCUACAGUCAAUCAUGCAUUGGGACCUCGCUGCCAUCAAGACACCCAAAGAGGUACCCAUCUCAGGCUGGCGAUUUCUUCCGGGUGAACUACAUUAUCUGUUUCUACCUACAGCCGCCUCUUCCUAGGAAUCCAUAGACCAUGAUCAGAGCCACAGGGAGACUUCACACAGCCUGCUAGCUUCCUAAAUCCAUUCUCCCAGCUCCUCUGUUCUUCCACUACUUAAUCCCUCCUUCCCACGUCUGUCCUUGAUCUUGGCAUGAAGCCCCCAGCUGCCAGGUUCCGGGGAUGCCCUAUGGAACAACCAGAGCAGUCCAGCAUGGACCCCUGCACAGCCCAGGGGGGGCACCACCUCAUGGGAGCCAAGCUGGGCCCAGGGAGACGAGACUUCUUCCUCUUCCUCGAGAUGCCCUCAGACAAGAAACUCACUACCACCCAAGGCCCCUUCUGAUCAUUAAUGCAGUGGAUUAUGAAUUACAGUGUCACCAAAAGAGAUGAACAAAAAUUCAACUUAAAGUUGAUUUUGAGCUGCUAUUCUUGCCAGGUAAUAGAAAACACAGUUAGUCAUUUCCGGACAAGCUGAGUCCCUGUAGGAUAUGUGCCAUCUCUCUGGGGUGAACAGUCAGAAGAGGACCCUGCCUGCCUCCUCUCUCACCAGGCGACGUCUGAGUUCCGGGGUCUCAGGGCGUUGAUGGGGAGGAGACGUCUGCUUCCUGUCCCCAUCGGUCCUCUGAUGACACACCCUGGAUGUAAGGUUCUCCUCCAGGAUUUGGUCUUUGCAUGUUGGGGUCUCAAGGAAACAGCGGCUGUGCAGGCCUCUCCAAGGUGUGAGAGGCUACCCCCCAGCUCCCCGGCGCCACCUGCCAUUCUUUUGGCUGCUACAAGAAAAGGAAUAAGGGAUGGAUGGUUUGACUUGCAGCACAUGCUGCCUAUUAUUUUUGGUUGUUCUACAUUUUAACCCCGAUGGUAUUCCAGGCAACUGAAAGGAAGUUGCUGGAGAAGAAGACUUUACCUCAAUAUAUAGAAGCUGCCCUUGACAUGUUGCAGGAAUAUGGGUUUUGGAGAAGACAGACGUGGGUUCGUAAAUAAGAGUGUGAACUUCCUGACACACAGGAAUUAAAACGUGAUCAGAAAACAUUCUUCACUAGGAUGAGGAAUUGAGAAGUCAGGGAGGAGAGCUACAUUUCAUUGAGGGCCCCUAUUUUUCUCUUUAGAAAUGUUCAUUGCUUUUUUAAUUGUGAAAGUCACACAAAUUCGUUAUGGGAAAUUUUUGAAAUGUAAAAAUGGUGUAAACAAAAACAUUAAAAGUCACCCAUAAUCUCACCAGAAACGACCGUUGUAAAUAUUUUGACAUGUUUUCUUCUGGCCUUUUGUCUCUGUGUGUGGGUGUGUGUAGAUUUACAUAAUUCUGCUAAUUCUUUUACACACACUUUGCAUCCUCUUUUUGUUGUGUUUUUUUUGUUUGUUUUCUUACAUCUACUGUUAUACCAUGAGUUUUUUCAAUUUUCCCCUAAAAUAUCUGUGAAGCCACCAAAAAACAAGAUGAAAGAGAAACUGAAAAAUAAACGUAUCUUUUCUUGAGGGCAUGUUAUGUGCCAGGCACCAUCGGAGCGCUUAAUGUGUCUUUUCUCCCCCGACAACAGCUGUGGGGAGGGACAAUUUUUCCCCCAUUUUACAGAUCAGGAAACUAAGCUUUGGGUGGAUAAAGUAAUAUGCAUGAGGGUGCAGAGAGUAAGUUGUGGAAAUAGGAAUUGAAUUGAUGCAUGUGAUUCCUAAAGUCAGGCUCUUAACCAGCAGGCCAUGCCAUUCAUUCAUUCAUUCCACAAAUGAUCAAGCAUUUGCCAUGGCCAGGCAUUUCUCUGGAAUAUCUCAAUCAUCAGAACAGGCAAAGAGAAAGGCCCUCAUGGGGUUAUGUUCGAGUGGGUUGAAAAUGGACAGUGAAUAAACUAAAUACAAACAUUUCACAGUAUGGAGAAUGGUUAUAAGUGUUAUGAGGAAUAAUGAAACCGAAGGGAGAGGAGGUAGGGCAGGAUAGCAUCACAAUCUGAAACAGGAUGCUGAAGGUAGACCUCGCUGAGAGGUGGUAUUUGAGGAAAGUCUUGCAGGAGGUGAAGGAGUGAGCCAUGUGGAUAACUUGGAGAGAAUAUCCAAGCAGAGGGAACAGCACAUGCAAAGUCCCUGAGGCCAGAGGGUGCUGGAACCGUUUGAGGAAUAGGAGGAAGUCGGAGUCAUUGGGGUAGAGUGAGCAGGAGAGACAGUGAGAGGAGAUAAGAUUGGAGAUUUUAGUCAAGUGGUCCCGUCACUCUUAUAAGCCAACAUGAAGACUUUGGCUCUCCCUUUAGAUGAGAUGGAAGGCAUUAAAAGACCGAGUAGAGUAUCGUGAUCCAACACGUAUUAGAAAAGGAUCUCUCUGGCUUUUGUGUGCAGGAAAGACUAUAAAAGGGACAGGGAUAAAAAAGAGAAGAGCCAGAAAGCUGUUGCAAAGAUCCAAGCAGGGGAUAAUGGGGGGCUGGACCAGGGUGGUCACAGGCAAGGUGGUAAGUGUCUGAUCCCAGAUCUCCUUCAAAGGAGGCAGAUUGAACCCAGGAGUAUGGGAGUCCUGAGUGUUACUCUAGACGAUAGUGAAAGCUUUUGGGUUCGAUGAGAUGACGUAGGAGUGUGUCCUAGAGAAGAGACGGCCUGAGAACUGAGCCCUAGACCAUUCUAACAAAGACAGGUUGGAAACUAAGAAAGUUUAGGUGGCAAGACAGAAAACGAAUCUCUUUUGAGAAUCAACUCAGCAAGUGGUCAAUGCGGGGCACACGUUACCUAAUCAAAUCCCCACUCCAAUCUUGUGGGAAACAGUCUUCUCCCUAUCUUCUAGAUGAGAGAAAUUAAGGCUCAGAGAGAAGAAAGGAAUUAUCCAAGGUAUCGAGUAAGAAAGUAGCAGAGCUGGGAUGGCAGCCUCUUCUUGGAUGACGUCAAGGGCACAUCUCUUGGCCUGGCUGUGUCCUACCCCUGCAUGGCAGACAAGCCAAGAUGGAAGUCUGCAUUUCUCCUUCCAUAUAGCCCCCAAUCAUGACCAUGAAAGGGAGCUGAUUGAUACACAUUCCGGCAUCCUCCCUUUGGGUGGGACAAUUCUGAGAUGUGUUCUUCACUUUCUCCCAGAGCUCCCAGUGGGAUUGGGCCCCAUUGCCCACGGUCACCACUGUGGCUUGAUAACCUUCCCCAGCCGGUUUCCUUCCAGUCCCUUCCUCGCUUGCCCAUUCUCUUAAUGGUAGUUCCCAAAUCACCUCCCAAAUAAAUCCUUUGCACUUGAAUUCCUAUCUCAGGAGCUGCUUCUGAGGAAAGCCACAUGUAGACUCCUUCGCAUGAAGAACAAAGACCCACAGCCCGGGGAGGAGGUGGUCCCAGAGGUGGUGUCAGCAAUCCGUGGUGUGGGGAUGGCUUCUUGUGCACACGGAGCCUGCGUGUGUGAGACACAUGUAUGUGGGCACGCAUCCUUCUGUGCACGUGGGUGGGUGUCCACGUCUGUGUGCCAGCUCAUAAGUUAAAAACAGGAAAGGAAAAUGUAAGCAGCUUCUUAUGUAAAUAUUGGGCAACCAGAAUGCUUUUCAUUUGCUUCUAGUCAUUUCAGAGUUUCUGAAACUUUGCCUUUCCUCCCCUUGGAUGGAGAGUGGGAGUGGAGGUGGGGGAAAAUGAGGUUAUUUUUGUCCUGGGGAUUUCAGGGUCCCUUCCUUUAUGCACGUCUCCCCUCGCUUUUCCACCCACCUGAGCCCCCGGAGAAAAGAUCAGCUGAAGACAGACAGCCUUGGCAAAGCAGGUGGCACCUCUGCCCCUCCGGGUGGCAGAGGAUUCACUGAAAGACACUAGACCACCCAAUGGCUUGCCCAUGACAUCCCACCUCAGUGCUCUCAACUCCAGAGAAAAGGGGUGGCCAGAUGCCAUGGCUGAAACGGUUCUAGAUUUGAUGACGGAAACCGUAGGUUUGCAAUCCACUUCUGUUUGUGACAAAGAGCCCUCAGCAGGCUCCAGGGAGGAAGCUCAGAGCAGAACGAUCACAGGCGAGCAAGCACUAGAGUCAAGAUCUAUUCAAGAGGUAAAGUCAAGAGGAUUUGUUAAGAGGUUAGAUGAGGAAAUGAAGAAGUGUCCCCAUUUUUCUGGCAUUAGCAAAUGAGUGGAUGGCAGUGCCUUUAGGCACAUGGAAAGAUUGUGGGAGGGACAUUUUGGAGGUCCCACCAGGAGCUCAGUUCUGGACAUGUUGUCCUUGAUAUGUCUAUGACAUAUCCAUUAGACAUAUGAGUCUAGGGUUCCUAGGAAUAGACUUUGCUGGAGGUGGACAUCUGAAAUUUGUCAGCAUCCAGUUGUUCUCUAAAAGCCCUGGAAUGUCUGAGGUCACAGGUGAAGCAGAGAAAAGACUCUUAAAAAGACC
Equus caballus (horse) is the source of this 6729-nucleotide long non-coding RNA. The record is from Ensembl. Lineage: Eukaryota; Metazoa; Chordata; Mammalia; Perissodactyla; Equidae.